RNAcentral lists this non-coding RNA (78 nucleotides) under unclassified sequences. The record is from RNAcentral.
CUGAUGUGUGCGCUCAUGGGCCAACGUUGAAGAACGUGCCCGGUUCACCGUGAAAACGGGAGAAAGCGCCCCAGUCAG